Brachypodium distachyon (stiff brome) is the source of this 1116-nucleotide long non-coding RNA. RefSeq lists it as uncharacterized. The record is from RefSeq and is a predicted model, not a curated record. The transcript has 4 exons. NCBI's taxonomy places the organism in Eukaryota, Viridiplantae, Streptophyta, Magnoliopsida, Poales, Poaceae.
UUCGAAAAUAGAAAAUUCACCAUGUGGGCUGGGCGUAGUUUGUUUUGAUGGGCCUCAAGACGAAAUUAGUGUUUCUGAAGGCCUACUAGUACCAGAAUAAGCCCACUUCUAGUAGCAUCCGGCUCUCUGCUGCUCUUGUCACUCCGUCCCGUCCGUCGCCGGCGAGGAGACGCCACCCCGCCGCGCGCAAGCGUUCUCCGCCGCCUCCGCCUCAUUUCAUCCGCGCGGGACCCGGAAUCACGUUCUCCUUCUCCCCACUGCUGCCCUCUCCCUCUUGGUCUCGGUCUCCGCCCCCGCGAGCCCCGCCGGCAGCCAACCCCAAGUACCACGACACGUAGGCGGACGCAGGGUACGAGGACUUGGACUGGGGCAAGCUGCUGAGGCGAUUCACGCGGGAGGUAGACGGCGCGGCGGCGGAGGCCCGCGGACGCAGGGGAGAACUGAAGAAGCUCAAGCGGAAGCCCCCCGGGACGCUGCCUGGAGGUUUCGCAUGAGGUUCCCUCCGGACGGGGCUACGAUAUUGGGAGGUCUUCAGAAGAGGAGAUCAAGAGAUGCUUAAGGAUAGCGCUCAGAAGUUGUAAGACGCUGCUCUCCUGGCGCACGAUUCCAGCUCCCGUGACUGCACUGAUGGGCGUUUGGUGGCAAGGUCACAGCAUACAGAUUUGGGCUAAGGAAGUUGAAGAAAAAAGUAAGAGAACUGGUUGGUCCUGUCAAUUUGGGCUGGGAGGAGUUUAAACCUAGCAAUUUAGUCUAUGCCUGCGCGUGAAAAAAAAACUCAGGCAAUUUUGUGGAAAGAGCCAAACAGAAGCAAACUUGAAGAGGGGGUCAAGAUGCUGAAGAAGGUGGUUGCUGACGCAUAUAUGCUGGACAGUUUGGCUAGGCGCCGUUGAGGAGACAACUGGUAGGCUAGCCUGGUGUUUUGGUCUUAGCUGCAUGCUGUCGUCACUUCCGGCGAACAAAUUUCUUUCCUGCCAGUUAUGCUUGCUUUUGUUGUAUAGCUAGGUUGGCGCUGGAACCCCGGUUCUUUUUCACUUUCGUUUCUGAACCUUGUAUUGUAUGGCUGUUGGCAGGGGUUUUAAUAGAAAUCGGUCUGGAGGUUCGCUUUUUUUCAAAAAA